CCUACGGGAGGCAGCAGUGGGGAAUCUUGCGCAAUGGGCGAAAGCCUGACGCAGCCAUGCCGCGUGAAUGAUGAAGGUCUUAGGAUUGUAAAAUUCUUUCACCGGGGACGAUAAUGACGGUACCCGGAGAAGAAGCCCCGGCUAACUUCGUGCCAGCAGCCGCGGUAAUACGAAGGGGGCUAGCGUUGCUCGGAAUUACUGGGCGUAAAGGGAGCGUAGGCGGAUAGUUUAGUCAGAGGUGAAAGCCCAGGGCUCAACCUUGGAAUUGCCUUUGAUACUGGCUAUCUUGAGUAUGGGAGAGGUAUGCGGAACUCCGAGUGUAGAGGUGAAAUUCGUAGAUAUUCGGAAGAACACCAGUGGCGAAGGCGGCAUACUGGCCCAUUACUGACGCUGAGGCUCGAAAGCGUGGGGAGCAAACAGGAUUAGAUACCCUGGUAGUCCACGCUGUAAACGAUGAGUGCUAGUUGUCGGCAUGCAUGCAUGUCGGUGGUACGCGAGCGUAACGACAUUAAGACACCUCCGCCGUCGGGGUAGGUACGGUCGCGAAGAAGUUAAACGUACGAAAGGAAGUUAGACGGACGUGAGACGUGCCGACGGACGACGACGAGGGAGGAGG
RNAcentral lists this ribosomal RNA (616 nucleotides) under uncultured bacterium. RNAcentral's name for it is "bacterial SSU rRNA". The stretch from base 1 to 524 matches the Rfam family "Bacterial small subunit ribosomal RNA", at positions 338 to 873 of the family's 1533-position model. The record is from RNAcentral.